UCCACAUUACUAGUGUGGCGCCUUACCAACUUGGCCAUAGAAGC
This 44-nucleotide transfer RNA is filed under the name Zygosaccharomyces rouxii. RNAcentral describes it as "partial transfer RNA". The record is from RNAcentral. Lineage: Eukaryota; Fungi; Ascomycota; Saccharomycetes; Saccharomycetales; Saccharomycetaceae.